Small nucleolar RNA from Ornithorhynchus anatinus (platypus), 137 nucleotides. Lineage: Eukaryota; Metazoa; Chordata; Mammalia; Monotremata; Ornithorhynchidae. The record is from RefSeq and is a predicted model, not a curated record.
UCCCUCUCAGGGUCGCAUCUGAAGAGUUUCCUGUACUCUAUCAGUCUUCCUAGGAGAGGGAGAGUCAAGCAGAGGCCCACCCAUUCCAUUCCUAGCUUGGCCAGUGGCUAGAGAAUGGAAGGCAAUCUGCUACAAGU